UGGUGUCGUUGAAGGGGAUGGGCGGGUGCUUCAGGUGCUUCCACCGCUUGCCGGUGGGGCGGUACUCGCCCAGCUGGCGGUCGCCUCGCCAGACCCGGAC
This 100-nucleotide transfer RNA is filed under the name uncultured Flavonifractor sp. RNAcentral's name for it is "tRNA-Gly(tcc)". The record is from RNAcentral. Lineage: Bacteria; Bacillati; Bacillota; Clostridia; Eubacteriales; Oscillospiraceae.